RNA transcript from Engraulis encrasicolus (European anchovy), 2134 nucleotides. It is a transcript of the gene named meprin A subunit beta-like, with no coding region annotated. Lineage: Eukaryota; Metazoa; Chordata; Actinopteri; Clupeiformes; Engraulidae. The record is from RefSeq and is a predicted model, not a curated record. The transcript is spliced from 15 exons.
AGUCGUUGCUAGGCAAUCACCACGAGUCUUUUUAACCCGCGAUAGAUUUUUGUUCUCUUCCAGGAAACAUCCUGGUCACAAAAUGAAGUGUUUUUUCUUCUUUGUGAUUGUGGCCCUACAACCGAUCUACACACUGCCAGUGAACUCAUCAAUAGGCAGAUUUAAGGAAAUGUAUCAUGCAGACAUCUUUGAAAUCAACAAGGACUUGGAUCUCUUUGAAGGGGACAUAAAGCUAUCACAUGAUUCUGAGAGAGUUGCUGCCUCGGACUCAUCAAUGCGGUGGUCUAUACCAAUACCUGUUUUGUUAGACUCCUCCCUCGAUCUAACUGGCAAAUCGACCGUUACAAAGGCUAUCGAACAGUACCGCCUGAAGACCUGUAUAGACUUCAAAAUGAGGGAUACAGAACCACACUAUCUCUUAUUUAAAAAAGAUGACGGAUGUUGGUCAUAUGUUGGCUUUACACAGACGGGUGAACAACCUGUGUCAAUCGGCGAUUACUGCCAGGAAGUAGCCACCGUUGAGCAUGAGCUUCUUCACGCGCUGGGCUUCUGGCAUGAGCAUACAAGGCCGGACAGAGAUGAGCAUGUUACUAUUCAGUGGGGUUACAUUGAUCCAGCUAAAUCACACAAUUUUGAUAAGCGGGCCGUUGCCGAGAGCACACUACAGGGCUCAAAAUAUGACUACAAAUCAGUGAUGCAUUAUUCCAAAACUUCAUUCAGUAAUGGCAAUGGGGAUACCAUCGUUACUAAAGACCCAAACUACCAAGAAAUCAUUGGACAAAGACACGAGAUGAGCCCAACGGACGUCUGGGAAGUAAACUCACUCUACGGUUGCACGUCUUCUGUGACAUUCUUGGAUGGCUGCACCUUUGAGAAGAACAUGCAGUGUGAGCUGACGGCUUGCUCCAACACAGACGAGACAAUGUGGACAAGACUAAGCAGCGCUGUCUAUGGGCCUUGGCAAGACCACAGUGACUUUCAAAGCCAUGGAGGUGUAGGACACUUUGUACAUUUUAGCACAGCCAUGGGGAUGGCAGGAGAUGGGGGAAUAAUAAAGACCAGAAGGAUGACGCCUCACAGGGACUUCCAGUGUCUGGAGUUCUUCUACUAUUACAACGGGGCUGACUCAGACCAGCUCAACAUAUGGCUCAGGGAGUUUGAAAGUGGGUCGGACACUAUUGGAGCCUCUACACUUGUCGGGCAGAUCACAGGUGACCCAGCUAACUACUGGCAGCUUCAACACUUGCAGCUCCGCUCAACCAAGAUAUUCCAGAUUGAGUUUGAGGCAGUGAAAGGACUAGGGGAAUCCAUGGGUGGUUUUUCCUUGGAUGACAUUAAUCUAUCUGAAACUGUGUGUCCACACCACGUGUGGCGCAUCAGCAACUUCAGAGAAGCUUUUCAACGUAGCCCCAAGUUCUACUCUGCUGAGGGAUACCGCUAUCGUGUGUAUAUGACAUAUGCAGACGAGUAUGUAGGACUCUACGUUGGCCUUGUUUCGGGGCAGUAUGAUGAUAGUCUGCAGUGGCCUGCCCCAGAGAAGCAGAUCACAGUUCAGAUCAUGGAACAGACAUCCUCUAUUCUGCAUCGCAUGUCCAAGCAAGUUACUUUUGCCCUUUAUUCGACAAUAAAUGGACAGCCGGUUACCAAUUGGGAUAAUCCAACAACAGUAGGAUCACUGUAUAAUGACAUCGAUGGACAGGUGUAUGAAGGGCCCCCCUUUGGUCGUCACGACUUCAUGAGCUUAGACCACCUUGAGGCAGGGAGUUUUGCUCAAGGAAGCGAGUGCUUUCUCCUGACUAGUUUCGAAGAUGUGGUCAAUCAGCUCAGCCCGUUGAUUCCCACAGCAAUGGCGGAGUCAAGUGUUAAUAAUAUGUUUAACAUCAUCAGCCCAUGUGUGGAACACAAGUUGUGAGUCUCUGUCAAGGUGGUUUUAUGUAACUUUGCCAAUACACCUGUAAAACAUUUCAAGUUGCCGACCAAAUAAAGCAGCAGUUUGUGCACCAUCAGAGUUCAUUGUUCUCCUUGUGGCCGUUAAUGUGAUGCUGACAGUACAAUGGGAUUAAAUCCAGGAUGAUUCAUCUCAAUUAACCUGUAUGAAUAAAACCUGGAAUAACCUACCCAGUCACAUUCAAAA